CAAUAGCGUAUAUUUAAGUUGUUGCAGUUAAAAAGCUCGUAGUCGGAUUUUGGCUGAGAACGAUCGGUCCGCCGUUAGGUGUGCACUGAUUGGUCUCAGCUUCCUGGUGAGGAGGUGUGCUUCACGGCCACUUAGUCACCGUGGUUACUUUGAAAAAAUUAGAGUGUUCAAAGCGGGCUUACGCUUGAACAUAUUAGCAUGGAAUAACACCAUAGGACUCCUGUCCUAUUUCGUUGGUCACGGGACGGGAGUAAUGAUUAAGAGGAACAGUUGGGGGCAUUCGUAUUUCAUUGUCAGAGGUGAAAUUCUUGGAUUUAUGAAAGACGAACUUCUGCGAAAGCAUUUGCCAAGGAUGUUUUCAUUGA
RNAcentral lists this ribosomal RNA (365 nucleotides) under uncultured eukaryote. RNAcentral describes it as "partial 18S ribosomal RNA". It matches the Rfam family "Eukaryotic small subunit ribosomal RNA", at positions 592 to 976 of the family's 1831-position model. The record is from RNAcentral.